RNAcentral lists this ribosomal RNA (468 nucleotides) under uncultured bacterium. RNAcentral describes it as "partial 16S ribosomal RNA". It matches the Rfam family "Bacterial small subunit ribosomal RNA", at positions 28 to 507 of the family's 1533-position model. The record is from RNAcentral.
GACGAACGCUGGCGGCGUGCUUAACACAUGCAAGUCGAACGGAAAGGCCCUGCUGUUGUGGGGUGCUCGAGUGGCGAACGGGUGUGUAACACGUGAGUAACCUGCCCUUGACUUUGGGAUAACUUCAGGAAACUGGGGCUAAUACCGGAGAGAAGCUCCUGCAGCAGGGUGGGGGUUGGAAAGUUUCGGCGGUUGGGUAUGGACUCGCGGCUUAUCAGCUUGUUGGUGGGGUAGUGGCUUACCAAGUCUGUGACGGGUAGCCGGCCUGAGAGUGUGACCGGCGACAUUGUUACUGAGAGACGGCAGCGGGUGCAACGGGCGGCAGCAGUGAGGAAUACUGCACAACCGCCGCAAGCCUGAUCCACUUACGCCGCGCGCCGGAUCACGGCCUUCCCUUUGUAAAACUCUUUCGCCUGUGACGGUGCGUGAGUGACGGUAAUGGGUCAGGAAGCACCGGCUAACUACGUG